Long non-coding RNA from Pseudoliparis swirei, 350 nucleotides. RefSeq lists it as uncharacterized. The transcript has 3 exons. Lineage: Eukaryota; Metazoa; Chordata; Actinopteri; Perciformes; Liparidae. The record is from RefSeq and is a predicted model, not a curated record.
CGACCCUCAGAAAGGUUUCUGGUGCCAGCGGCUCGACGGAGGAAAGACUAAAUGUCUGGGGAAGAGCAAAGGGAGGAAGUACCCUCCGAUGGAGCCCGAGGCCCAUGCGUACCUGUCCAGGUACUACAGGGACCACAACGUGGACCUGUCCAAGCUGCUGCACCGCCUCGGGCAGCCCCUCCCCUCCUGGCUGAGGGAGGAGCUGCAGAAGGUCAGAUAACCUUUGUAUCCAUGACCCAGGGUUAAAGGUCAAGGGGUCAAGGACCUCUCUGCGGCCUCUGAGUGAACCCUGAGGUGAAGGCCAGGACCAGGAGCCUCGCUCCACCGAGGAGCAGCUGGAGGAAGAUGAA